This 653-nucleotide ribosomal RNA is filed under the name uncultured bacterium. RNAcentral describes it as "bacterial SSU rRNA". It matches the Rfam family "Bacterial small subunit ribosomal RNA", at positions 366 to 1019 of the family's 1533-position model. The record is from RNAcentral.
UGAAUGGGCGCAGCUGAUCAUUCAUUCCGCGUGCAGACGAAGGCCUCGGGUUGUAAACUGCUUUUGUACGGAACGAAAAGCCUAGGGUUAAUACCUCUGGGUCAUGACGGUACCGUAAGAAUAAGCACCGGCUAACUACGUGCCAGCAGCCGCGGUAAUACGUAGGGUGCAAGCGUUAAUCGGAAUUACUGGGCGUACAGCGUGCGCAGGCGGUCUUGUAAGACAGAGGUGAAAUCCCCGGGCUUACCCUGGGAACUGCCUUUGUGACUGUAAGGCUGGAGUGCGGCAGAGGGGGAUGGCAUUCCGCGUGUAGCAGUGAAAUGCGUAGAUAUGCGGAGGAACACCGAUGGCGAAGGCAAUCCCCUGGGCCUGCACUGACGCUCAUGCACGACAGCGUGGGGAGCAAACAGGAUUAGAUACCCUGGUAGUCCACGCCCUAAACGAUGUCAACUGGUUGUCGGGUCUUCACUGACUCAGUAACGAAGCUAACGCGUGAAGUUGACCGCCUGUGGAGUACGGCCGCACGGUUGAGCACUCAAAGGACUAGACGGGGACCCGCACAAGCGGUGGAUGAUGUGGCUUACUCCCAUGCAUCGCGACAAACUUAACUACCCUUGACAUGUACGGAAGUUGCCAGAGAUGGCUUCGUGCUC